CAGCAGCCGCGGGAAUACAGAGGGUGCGAGCGUUAAUCGGAUUUACUGGGCGUAAAGCGUGCGUAGGCGGCUUUUUAAGUCGGAUGUGAAAUCCCUGAGCUUAACUUAGGAAUUGCAUUCGAUACUGGGAAGCUAGAGUAUGGGAGAGGAUGGUAGAAUUCCAGGUGUAGCGGUAAAAUGCGUAGAGAUCUGGAGGAAUACCGAUGGCGAAGGCAGCCAUCUGGCCUAAUACUGACGCUGAGGUACGAAAGCAUGGGGAGCAAACAGGAUUAGAUACCCCGGUAGUCCCUGUCUCUUAUAA
Molecule: ribosomal RNA, 301 nt
Filed under: uncultured bacterium
Lineage: Bacteria
Description: partial 16S ribosomal RNA
Rfam family: Bacterial small subunit ribosomal RNA
Source: RNAcentral